GACGAACGCUGGCGGCGUGCUUAACACAUGCAAGUCGAACGGAAAGGCCCUGCUUUUGUGGGGUGCUCGAGUGGCGAACGGGUGAGUAACACGUGAGUAACCUGCCCUUGACUUUGGGAUAACUUCAGGAAACUGGGGCUAAUACCGGAUAGGAGCUCCUGCUGCAUGGUGGGGGUUGGAAAGUUUCGGCGGUUGGGGAUGGACUCGCGGCUUAUCAGCUUGUUGGUGGGGUAGUGGCUUACCAAGGCUUUGACGGGUAGCCGGCCUAAGAGGGUGACCGGCCACAUGGGGACUGAGAGACGGCCCAGACUCCUACGGGAGGCAGCAGUGGGGAAUAUUGCACAAUGGGCGGAAGCCUGAUGCAGCAACGCCGCGUGCGGGAUGACGGCCUUCGGGUUGUAAACCGCUGUCGCCUGUGACGAAGCGUGAGUGACGGUAAUGGGUAAAGAAGCACCGGCUAACUACGUG
RNAcentral lists this ribosomal RNA (468 nucleotides) under uncultured bacterium. RNAcentral describes it as "partial 16S ribosomal RNA". It matches the Rfam family "Bacterial small subunit ribosomal RNA", at positions 28 to 507 of the family's 1533-position model. The record is from RNAcentral.